AGCACUCCGCCUGGGGACUACGGUCGCAAGACUAAAACUCAAAGGAAUUGACGGGGACCCGCACMAGCGGUGGAGCAUGUGGUUUAAUUCKAUGCAACGCGAAGAACCUUACCACUUCUUGACAUGGAGAUUAGAUCCUUCUUAACAGAAGGGCGCASUUCGGCUGGAUCUCGCACAGGUGCUGCAUGGCUGUCGUCAGCUCGUGUCGUGAGAUGUUGGGUUAAGUCCCGCAACGAGCGUAACCCUCAUCCUUAGUUGCCAGCGGGUUAAGCCGGGCACUUUAAGGAGACUGCCAGUGGUAAACUGGAGG
This 310-nucleotide ribosomal RNA is filed under the name Candidatus Anaplasma camelii. RNAcentral describes it as "bacterial SSU rRNA". Lineage: Bacteria; Pseudomonadati; Pseudomonadota; Alphaproteobacteria; Rickettsiales; Anaplasmataceae. The record is from RNAcentral.